GGAUUGUGGCUCAGUGGUAGAGCGCUCGUCUAGCACAUGCGAGGCCCUGGGUUUGAUCCUCAGCACCA
This 68-nucleotide transfer RNA is filed under the name Marmota monax (woodchuck). RNAcentral's name for it is "tRNA.Ala". The stretch from base 5 to 65 matches the Rfam family "tRNA", at positions 6 to 65 of the family's 71-position model. From Rfam's summary of the family: Transfer RNA (tRNA) molecules are approximately 80 nucleotides in length. Their secondary structure includes four short double-helical elements and three loops (D, anti-codon, and T loops). The record is from RNAcentral. Lineage: Eukaryota; Metazoa; Chordata; Mammalia; Rodentia; Sciuridae.